Transfer RNA from Camelus ferus (Wild Bactrian camel), 73 nucleotides. It matches the Rfam family "tRNA". From Rfam's summary of the family: Transfer RNA (tRNA) molecules are approximately 80 nucleotides in length. Their secondary structure includes four short double-helical elements and three loops (D, anti-codon, and T loops). The record is from Rfam. NCBI's taxonomy places the organism in Eukaryota, Metazoa, Chordata, Mammalia, Artiodactyla, Camelidae.
GAAGGUAUAGCUCAAUUAAUAGAGCGCCUGCUUAGCAUGCGUUAGGUCCUGGGUUCAAUCCCCUGUACCUCCA